RNAcentral lists this ribosomal RNA (799 nucleotides) under Lestonia sp. WCW-2003. Its description in RNAcentral is "partial 18S ribosomal RNA". It matches the Rfam family "Eukaryotic small subunit ribosomal RNA", at positions 410 to 1149 of the family's 1831-position model. The record is from RNAcentral. Lineage: Eukaryota; Metazoa; Arthropoda; Insecta; Hemiptera; Lestoniidae.
UACCACAUCCAAGGAAGGCAGCAGGCACGCAAAUUACCCACUCCCGGCACGGGGAGGUAGUGACAAAAAAUAACGAUACGGGACUCAUCCGAGGCCCCGUAAUCGGAAUGAGAACACCCUAAAUCCUUUAACGAGGAUCUAUUGGAGGGCAAGUCUGGUGCCAGCAGCCGCGGNNNNNNNNCUUAAUUGGUUCUGCGUUCCACGCUGUCGGUUCACCGCCUGUCGGUGCAACUGGCAUGCCGUGGCAUGUCCYGUCGGUGGCUUCACAGGCUUCGCGGCGCGCCCUAUGCGUCAACUCGUGUAGGUAGUUGCGCCGCGUUGUUCUUGUAGGCNGGCUCAAUCCUGCCGCGGUGCUCUUUACCNAGUGUCGGGGUAGGCCGACACUGUUUACUUUGAACAAANUAGAGUGCUUCAAGCAGGCUCUGAAMSCAGCCUGAAUAWUGGUGCAUGGAAUAAUKGRACAGGACCUUGGUUYUAUUUUGUUGGUUUUAGGAAUCCAAGGUAAUGAUCAAUAAGGACAGGCGGGGGCAUUCGUAUUGCGACGUUAGACUUGGCAAAUGCUUUCGCNNNNAAAUUCUUGGACCGUCGCAAGACGCACUAGAGCGAAAGCAUUUGCCAAGUAUGUCUUAAUUGAUCAAGAACGAAAGUUAGAGGUUCGAAGGCGAUCAGAUACCGCCCUAGUUCUAACCAUAAACGAUGCCAGCCAGCGAUCCGCCGAUGUUCCUCCGAUGACUCGGCGGGGAGCUUUCCCCGGGAAACCAAAGCUUUUGGGUUCCGGGGGAAGUAUGGUUGCAAAGCU